This 254-nucleotide ribosomal RNA is filed under the name uncultured bacterium. Its description in RNAcentral is "partial 16S ribosomal RNA". It matches the Rfam family "Bacterial small subunit ribosomal RNA", at positions 524 to 776 of the family's 1533-position model. The record is from RNAcentral.
UACGUAGGGGGCAAGCGUUGUCCGGAUUUAUUGGGCGUAAAGAGCGUGUAGGCGGCCAGGUAGGUCUGUUGUGAAAACUCGAGGCUCAACCUCGAGACGCCGAUGGAAACCAACUGGCUAGAGUCCGGAAGAGGAGAGUGGAAUUCCUGGUGUAGCGGUGAAAUGCGCAGAUAUCUGGAGGAGCACCGGUGGCGAAGGCGGCAUCCUGGACCAACACUGACGCUGAGUGAGCGAAAGCCAGGGGAGCAAACGGG